CCUACGGGGAGCAGCAGUGGGGAAUAUUGGACAAUGGGCGAAAGCCUGAUCCAGCCAUGCCGCGUGUGUGAAGAAGGCCUUCGGGUUGUAAAGCACUUUCAGUGGGGAAGAAAGCCUUGGGGCUAAUACCCUCGAGGAAGGACAUCACCCACAGAAGAAGCACCGGCUAACUCCGUGCCAGCAGCCGCGGUAAUACGGAGGGUGCGAGCGUUAAUCGGAAUUACUGGGCGUAAAGCGCGCGUAGGUGGUCUGAUAAGCCGGUUGUGAAAGCCCCGGGCUCAACCUGGGAACGGCAUCCGGAACUGUCAGGCUAGAGUGCAGGAGAGGAAGGUAGAAUUCCCGGUGUAGCGGUGAAAUGCGUAGAGAUCGGGAGGAAUACCAGUGGCGAAGGCGGCCUUCUGGACUGACACUGACGCUGAGGUGCGAAAGCGUGGGUAGCAAACAGGAUUAGAUACCCUAGUAGUC
RNAcentral lists this ribosomal RNA (465 nucleotides) under Vreelandella stevensii. RNAcentral describes it as "partial 16S ribosomal RNA". It matches the Rfam family "Bacterial small subunit ribosomal RNA", at positions 338 to 795 of the family's 1533-position model. The record is from RNAcentral. Lineage: Bacteria; Pseudomonadati; Pseudomonadota; Gammaproteobacteria; Oceanospirillales; Halomonadaceae.